Molecule: ribosomal RNA, 252 nt
Filed under: uncultured bacterium
Lineage: Bacteria
Description: partial 16S ribosomal RNA
Rfam family: Bacterial small subunit ribosomal RNA
Source: RNAcentral
UACGAAGGGGGCUAGCGUUGCUCGGAAUCACUGGGCGUAAAGCGCACGUAGGCGGCUUUUUAAGUCAGGGGUGAAAUCCCGGAGCUCAACUCCGGAACUGCCUUUGAUACUGAAAGCUUGAGUUCGGGAGAGGUGAGUGGAACUGCGAGUGUAGAGGUGAAAUUCGUAGAUAUUCGCAAGAACACCAGUGGCGAAGGCGGCUCACUGGCCCGAUACUGACGCUGAGGUGCGAAAGCGUGGGGAGCAAACAGG